Molecule: long non-coding RNA, 117 nt
Organism: Syngnathus acus (greater pipefish)
Lineage: Eukaryota; Metazoa; Chordata; Actinopteri; Syngnathiformes; Syngnathidae
Exons: 3
Source: RefSeq, a predicted model, not a curated record
AUCUUUUCAAUCAAACCAGAAGAUAAGAUAAGAGGAACUUUAUUAAUCUCACGUGUGAGAAACUGCAUGUAACAACAGCUCGAUUUACAGGAAGGUACAAGUUGGGGGAUAAAAGUG